This 348-nucleotide unclassified non-coding RNA is filed under the name soil metagenome. RNAcentral's name for it is "partial contains 5.8S ribosomal RNA, internal transcribed spacer 2, and large subunit ribosomal RNA". The stretch from base 1 to 120 matches the Rfam family "5.8S ribosomal RNA", at positions 35 to 154 of the family's 154-position model. The record is from RNAcentral.
GAUGAAGAACGUAGCGAGAUGCGAUAAGUAAUGUGAAUUGCAGAAUUCAGUGAAUCAUCGAGUCUUUGAACGCACAUUGCGCCCCCUGGUAUUCCGGGGGGCAUGCCUGUCCGAGCGUCAUUGCCGCCCUCAAGCACGGCUUGUGUGUUGGGCCCCCGCCCCCCGGCUUCGGGGGGCGGGCCCGAAAGGCAGCGGCGGCACCGCGUCCGGUCCUCGAGCGUAUGGGGCUUCGUCACCCGCUCUGUAGGCCCGGCCGGCGCCCGCCGGCGACCCCAAUCAAUCUUUCCAGGUUGACCUCGGAUCAGGUAGGGAUACCCGCUGAACUUAAGCAUAUCAAUAAGCGGAGGA